UGUUGCCAAAGGGCCUAGCA
RNAcentral lists this non-coding RNA (20 nucleotides) under Arabidopsis thaliana (thale cress). The record is from RNAcentral. Lineage: Eukaryota; Viridiplantae; Streptophyta; Magnoliopsida; Brassicales; Brassicaceae.